This 2738-nucleotide long non-coding RNA is filed under the name Citrus x clementina. Its description in RNAcentral is "Citrus clementina (C. clementina) long non-coding RNA (CCLE_LNC003477)". Lineage: Eukaryota; Viridiplantae; Streptophyta; Magnoliopsida; Sapindales; Rutaceae. The record is from RNAcentral.
UUAUAAUUAUAAUUUUUUACCGUAACAACAUUUCAAUAUCAAAUAGAGCCUCACCUUGGUAAAUAGCAAUUGAUUGCGUUUGUUCUUUUAAAGUCUAAUGUCAAAUAAAAACUAUGAAAGGAGUGUGGACCAACCAAAACAUUUGAUUUUAGUUAAAAGCGUGUGGCUCGAGACUGAGAGACACCCAAAAUCCAACUCAAUCCAUACCGACCUGGUCCGACCCAAAGACUUCAACCCUGACCCGUAACAUGACAAAUAUUCAAAUGGAUAGUCAUUUCGUUAUCGCAUCUUGAUUCUCUUCUUAUCGAACUUUUACCUAAGAAUAAAUACUAAGACAUCCCAAAAUUUAAUUUAUCAUACUGAUGGUGAAAUACUAUAAUUAAUUAAUUCAUUUAGAAUUUUGUGAAAAGAGUAUCAAUCAUUCGAUGAAUCAUCUAUCACAUCAUUCGAGAUUAAAUUAAUUUUAAAUAUUUAUCAUUACUCUUUAAUUUACAAUAACAACUACGUUUAUAAUCAUAUAUGAGCAAAUAAUUUGUGCUCUAUCCUUCAAAUUUAAGUCAAUCAAAGUAUGCCAACGAAUUAGAUAGUUCAAUUUUUGGGAUCAUUAUCCUCAUCCCACUCGUGUAAAAUGAAUUAUACCCAACUGAAGAUAAGUUCAUCGACUUAUCUUGACUGACACACACAUUUAAAAGGUGAUGCUAGAGUCAUAAGUUCAAUGUAAAAUAACGGCAUUGAUUGAUUGAAAAAAAAAAAACUAAAAAUGAAAUGCGGUGGUGAAAGCUAUUUUCAUCCAAUCAAUAAUAUUAUUAUACCACAUCAGUUAAUACGAAAUAAUGCGUAUAAAGAAUUCAUAACUCUUAACAUUUGUACUGUGAAACAAGACAUAUGGUGUGUAAGGCUUGUUGAAGAGUAGUAGCGUGCAAUUAAUAACCAAGUCAAUGAUGAAGGUCACCGUCGACUCAUAUUUUGGAUGCGUUAUAGGCAGCGGCACAUCCGCCUUUGAUUCGGGCUCUCGAUUUCCGGAAAUGGUCUUUAAAUGGGGUAGCCAUAUGUUAGUUUAAACACGAUUGAAUUUCCUUUCCACUGUUAGUGUAUUAGUAUGACAAAAUCUGAAGCAAGUUUUAUUUAUCUCUCAAUAGAUUCUACUCAGUUAAUUGGACUUGAUUUUAUGUUUGUAUAUCUUUUCCUUUUCUUUUUCUUUUUUUUUUUUCCAAACAGAAUUUGUUUCCAAAGACUUGAUCUCGAGUGGUGUUUAAGUUUUUUUUUUUUGGUCUAAUUGCCCGAGUUUGAGUUAUGGAGGAAAUAGAGGCUAAAGAAAUUGAUUUAAAUUUUAUCCAACCCUACUUAAAAAAAAAAGAAAAAGAGAGAGAGAUUAUUUCGAGCUCCACUCACAUGAGUUGGAAGAGUAUUGAGUUCCAAUAUUAGGCAUUAUUAAUUUUGGGAGCCAUACAUACCAAUGCCAACGGAUAUAUCUAUAUAAAUACUCUUUACAUCUGUUUUGAAAACAGAUUAUGAUUUCAUCAUGAUACAUACAAUCAUAAUUCUUUAAAGACAAAUAAUAGAAGAGAUAUUUUUUAUCUAACGUUAAAAUUUGGAAGUCAACGAAGAAUUUUGUUCAAAAAAAAUUAAAUUCGAUAAUUAUUUUUAUAUCAAAAUCUAUUUAACUAAAAAACUUCUUGUAUCUUUCAAUAUCGAGCAUUAUUCAUUUACCAAGGCACUCUAAGGGGUUCGGAACCUUAAAAAAACUUCUUUUUUAAGCGUUCAUACAUUCAGCAACAUCAACUCUUAAAGGAACAUAAAGUAAUUGAAAAUUUAUUUAUUUUUAGAUUAUAUAAGCUACAUAUCAAUACAAAAAAUAAAAUAAGAACAAUAAUAAUUUAAAAUAUGAUGAUCAAAUGAUGGCAAUGGAUUUCGUAGAGAAGAAUUUUAUUUGUGGAGAAGAAAGUAAUAAUUUUUUUAAUUGAGAUUUUUUUAUUCAAUGGUUUUGAAGUUUUAUUAGAGUUUAAAGGAAUAUCAAGAGUCAGUUUAGUGUUUAAAAGAUUUUUUUUUUAAAGAAAGUGAAGCGUUUAAUUUUUUUUUUCUUGGAAAGGUUAACAAAAUAAAGAAAUAAUGGUUAAAAUCAUUGAUUAUACUAUAAAGAUUAUCAAAUAUAGAAUUUUUAUGAAAAAAAAAAUCUUAUUUGAAGGUGAAGAUUAUCAAAUAAAUAAUCUAUAUUAAAAAUCUUAAUUUUUGGAUAAUUAUGAAUGGAUGUAAUAAUAAGGAGAUGAAUGAAAAUUAACAUUUCCUACAUAAGUAACUUAAAUAAAAAGUGAAAUCUUAGAAUAAUUAUUAUAAGUUAGUUUAUUAAUAAAUAAAUGCCCAAAAACUGGGGCCUUCUUAAAAUUUGGAACCCUAGACAUUUGCCUAGUGCUAAAAUCACCUGUGACUCUAUUACACAAAAAUAGAGUAAUAAGCCAUUAAAUGUUGACUAUCAAGCCUCAAUUAUAGUCUAUUAAAUUCUUAAUCUAGACCUAUUGAUAUAUCCUUUUUGUUAAAUGUUUAUCAUAUGUACCUUUCAACUAAUUAUAUAAAAGGUAAGUAACACGUGUGGCAAUAAAAUGCAAUCAAUUGGAGAGUAUACAACUAGGGGUGGGCAUGGGUUGGUUUGGGUUGGAUUUUAAGUCAACCCAAACCAAACUAUAAAAAUUUGGAUCCAACCCAAACCAACCCAAAUAUUUUUAACCCAAACCAAACCAAAC